This 1355-nucleotide long non-coding RNA is filed under the name Cyanistes caeruleus (blue tit). RNAcentral's name for it is "lncRNA (ENSCCEG00000011774.1)". Lineage: Eukaryota; Metazoa; Chordata; Aves; Passeriformes; Paridae. The record is from RNAcentral.
CAAUUGCCACUGUUCUCCCCACACCAGAGGGCACCCAAGCAAAGGGACCAGGGGCUGAGGAGCAUUCCUGCAUCUGGCAAGGCUGAGAUGGGUUCCCUGGUGCUCUCAGGAGCCCCAGCCCAUCCCUCUGAACCCAGGUCCUGUGGCAGAGUGGCUAGAAGGAAAACUGAUUAUUAAUUCUGCUUUUUUUGCUUUGUCACCUUGGAUAGCAGAACAGGGCCUCAGGAGGGAGGUGCUGUCCCUGGGAGCAGAGCAAAGCUCCUCAGGCCUGUUGGGAAAUGCUGUCAAAGGAAUAGCUGAACACCUGAAAAUGUCUAGUCUUCCGAAACUUGAAAGAAGGAUCUGAAUGGUUAGAUCCUUUCAACAAUUUAAAAAAAAAAAAAAACCAACAAACUCCAUCAAACUUUGAUUCUGUUUUAAUUGCUAUUUAGUCGGGUUCAAGUUAGAGCAGUCCCAUAAGAGUUAAAGCAGCAAGAGACCAAUAAAGCUGGAGGAGGAGGGUUAAGGAAGGGUUUAAAUUUCUCUUUUCUCUGGGCAGGUGUGUUUUGGUGUGGGUUCUUUGGGCACAGGAAGGCUCCAGUGGUGCUCAGGUGCCUGAGGCUGAAGGUGGCGGGAGGCGCAGCUGUGCCCGUGAGGCCGCGCGUGCGGAGCUGUGUCCAGCUGGGCCCAGCAGGAGCGGGAUGUGCCUGUGGAGCAGGGCUGGAGGCGGCCCUGGGGAUGUGUGGAGGCCUGGGGCAGCUGUGCUGUGCAGCCAGGCUGGGAGAGCCGGGGCUGUGCAGCCGGGAGAGGAGCGGGGGCCGGGGAGGCCUGACUGUGGCCUUCCAGUGCCCAGAGGGGGCAGAGAGCCAUGGGGGAAGUGUUUUAGACGUGGAAGGGGAAGGUUGAGAGCAGAUGUUUGCAAGAGCCAGGAGGGUGGUGAGUCAGCGGAACAGGCUGUGCAGAGAAGCUGUGGAUGCCCUGUCCCUGGAAGGUUCCAGGCCAGGCAGGACGGGGCCCUGAGCACCCUGAUGGAGCGGGUGGCAGCAGAACCAGGCCAUGGCUGCGGUGCCUCCAUGGCCUUCUGGAAGUUCAUGGGUGAGCAAAGCGCAGCCCCGUUAGCUGGGCAUGGAAUGUUGGCACCGGUUGCCAGGGGCACUCCUGCUCCCAAGGUUCUGUUGGCACGGAAUCUGUUGAGCCAGUUGACGGAUUCUCUACUGCGCAGCAGACACAGAGCAUCCGUCUUCUCCAUCCCGAGUGGGAAGAGAGAGCUGUCUGCUGACAUUUGUGAGCCAAACUCUGGAGUGGCUGUACAGGUUUGGAAGAGCGGUUUUGAGUCACUCCAAAAAAUCUGCAGUGGGCUGCCCAAAGGACACUAA